GGGCCGGGGGCUGUGCCUUCAGCUUGGGACGUUUAAAGGGCAAAUUCAUGUUAUCUGUCCCAGCGAGCACAGGGAACACCAUGUCUCUGCAGCAUGUGGGCCGCUGUAUUUAUAGCACACGAAGGCUUAGGCUGCGGCCGACCUGGGGACAGACACGGGACCGAUGCCUCAAGCAGGGCUUUCUUUAACCUCAGACCUGCACGGGACCCGUUCCUGGUCAAAGGAUUUCAGCUAGUUUUUACUUCUUCCUUGUAACUCACUGCCUGGAUGUGGGCCUCUCGAAGUUGUGUGCGCUCGCAAAUAGAUAAGAUCCUGAAAAAUAAAUACUACGUCACUUGAUGCUGUGAUUGCCUCAUAUAAUAUGGCAACCUGCUGCAUCCCUUCUUUCCAUUCACUCAUUCAAUCAUUCAUUCGGCUCCCAGUUUUUUUUUAUGUGCCUGGCAGCGCCACCAGGAAAGACCAAGUGCAGGGAGCCGCUAGGUGAAUACUUGUUUUAGCAAGCUUGCCCACGAAUGCUGGCAUCAUGUUAGGCGUUACUUAGCUACCGCUGUGUGUCGCCCUGGGUCUGGAGACUUCAGGAGAGCAGGAGGUCCAUGCCAGGCCCACAAAGCGUAUGCGUUUGUCUGAGCUUGGAGCAGUCUAGAGUUCAGAAAUCCAGUAGGAGCUAUAUUUCUCCUUGGCGUCUGUCCAGUUAUCCUGUCACGUUUUGGAGCUGUAGCUGGAAUCCUUGACAACAGGUUUUCCAUGGAAAUCUAUAGACUGUCCUCUCCCUCCAUGGACUUUCUCAGAAAAGAGAGGCCUCAGAUGUCCUAAGGGGCAUGAGUUGCCUCUGAUCACAAGAUCUGGGUAUCGCUUACACAGGCAGGGGAGAGAGUGGCACUGAGCAGAACAUGUGUCUUCCUACCAGUCCUAGUACUCAGUGGCUUUCUGCCAGUAUGACAGUGGACAAGGUAUCUAGGAGACAAGAGAGAAUCUUGCCUUCAUAUGUGGCAUGGUAACCAGGAAGUUGGAAGGGACAGGGCUGUGUAGAAAUGAGAGUAGGGUAUUAAGCUAGUGUUCUCAUUUUUAGUGGAAGCUUUUAAAGAACCUUAAAUCUUUUACCAACUUGGGAAUAGAGAACAGGAGCUGCUAAAAGUAAAAGGCACAAGAAAUAAAGGAAAUCACUUAAGGAUUUGCUGGUGGUGGUGAUGAUGUAAUGCAUAUGUGUAGGUGAAUACUAAAGCUGUUGGCAGUUAAAACACACUAUUACUGUGUGUUCACAUGGUACAUUUUAGCAUUAAGCAAAGAGCAGUGAAUUCUGAAAAUUUAUUUUUUGAUCAUAUAAGACCAUAUAUGAAUUGCUGAAUUUCAAUCGAAGGUAUUUAAUAGACUCAUUCAUGGGGAUACAUUGCUUCAAAAAGGCAAAAUGAAAUAAAUGAUGUGAUAUUUCUCCACAAUUUCUGCUGAAGGUAGCUUAGUUAAUUAGAACAAUACCUCAAUUGACAAAUUCUUUAUAAUCAAGAGCUUUUAUAGGAAAGUCCUUCUCAAAGUACACACAUAUACUCCACACAUACCUUCUGAAAUCAUGAGUAUUCCUGCAAAAAGCUACACUACUAGCACCUAGUUAGCUAAUGCAAGCAAAAUUAUGAAACUGCAAAACAUGUCUUUGUUUUCAACCCAUUUGUUCAUUCUUGAACCUUCUUAACCUUUAGUGAUCACCUCUCCAGUCUCCACUUUCCUCC
Molecule: long non-coding RNA, 1721 nt
Organism: Manis pentadactyla (Chinese pangolin)
Lineage: Eukaryota; Metazoa; Chordata; Mammalia; Pholidota; Manidae
Exons: 3
Source: RefSeq, a predicted model, not a curated record